RNAcentral lists this ribosomal RNA (955 nucleotides) under Candidatus Annandia pinicola. Its description in RNAcentral is "bacterial SSU rRNA". It matches the Rfam family "Bacterial small subunit ribosomal RNA", at positions 381 to 1327 of the family's 1533-position model. Lineage: Bacteria; Pseudomonadati; Pseudomonadota; Gammaproteobacteria; Enterobacterales; Enterobacteriaceae. The record is from RNAcentral.
GCCUGAUGCAGCUAUGUCGCGUGUAUGAAGAAGGCCUUAGGGUUGUAAAAUACUUUCGAUAGCAUAAGAAGAUAAUGAAACUAAUAAUUUUGUUAUCAGACGUUAGCUAUAGAAGAAGCACCGGCUAACUCCGUGCCAGCAGCCGCGGUAAUACGGGGGGUGCUAGCGUUAAUCGGAAUUACUGGGCGUAAAGAGCAUGUAGGCGGUUUAUUAAGUCAGAUGUGAAAUCCCUAGACUUAAUCUAGGAACUGCAUUUGAAACUAAUAGACUAGAGUUUCGUAGAGGGAGGUAGAAUUCUAGGUGUAGCGGUGAAAUGCAUAGAUAUCUAGAGGAAUAUCAGUGGCGAAGGCGGCCUCCUGGACGAUAACUGACGCUCAAAUGCGAAAGCAUGGGUAGCAAACAGGAUUAGAUACCCUGGUAGUCCAUGCUGUAAACGAUGUCGACUAAGAGGUUGGGAGCUUGACUUUUAAUCUCUGUAGCUAACGCGUUAAGUCGACCGCCUGGGGAGUACGGUCGCAAGGCUAAAACUCAAAUGAAUUGACGGGGGCCUGCACAAGCGGUGGAGCAUGUGGUUUAAUUCGAUGCAACGCGUAAAACCUUACCUGGUCUUGACAUCCACAGAAUUUUACAGAAAUGUAGAAGUGCAAUUUGAGCUGUGAGACAGGUGCUGCAUGGCUGUCGUCAGCUCGUGUUGUGAAAUGUUGGGUUAAGUCCCGCAACGAGCGCAACCCUUGUCCUUUGUUACCAUAGGAUUUUAUCCAGGGACUCAAAGGAGACUGCCGGUGAUAAACUGGAGGAAGGUGGGGACGACGUCAAGUCAUCAUGGCCCUUAUGACCAGGGCUACACACGUGCUACAAUGGCAUAUACAAAGAGAUGCAAUAUUGCGAAAUAAAGCCAAUCUUAUAAAAUAUGUCCUAGUUCGGACUGGAGUCUGCAACUCGACUCCACGAAGUC